This 468-nucleotide ribosomal RNA is filed under the name uncultured bacterium. RNAcentral describes it as "partial 16S ribosomal RNA". It matches the Rfam family "Bacterial small subunit ribosomal RNA", at positions 28 to 507 of the family's 1533-position model. The record is from RNAcentral.
GACGAACGCUGGCGGCGUGCUUAACACAUGCAAGUCGAACGGAAAGGCCCUGCUUUUGUGGGGUGCUCGAGUGGCGAACGGGUGAGUAACACGUGAGUAACCUGCCCUUGACUUUGGGAUAACUUCAGGAAACUGGGGCUAAUAUCGGAUAGGAGCUCCUGCUGCAUGGUGGGGGUUGGAAAGUUUCGGCGGUUGGGGAUGGACUCGCGGCUUAUCAGCUUGUUGGUGGGGUAGUGGCUUACCAAGGCUUUGACGGGUAGCCGGCCUGAGAGGGUGACCGGCCACAUUGGGACUGAGAUACGGCCCAGACGCCUACGGGAGGCAACAGUGGGGAAUAUUGCACAAUGGGCGGAAGCCUGAUGCAGCAACGCCGCGUGCGGGAUGACGGCCUUCGGGGUGUAAACCGCUUUCGCCUGUGACGAAGCGUGAGUGACGGUAAUGGGUAAAGAAGCACCGGCUAACUACGUG